GAUAUUCUUUUUUGCUGCAUCUCUUCUUGACACGUGUUACUAUCUUUUGCAAAAUGGUGCAGGGAUCAGGAGAAGGUAGGCGCUCAUGGGAAUGGUUAGCUGAGUUUGUUGGGGUUGCACAACAGCUUCAUGGGUUGGGUUUUUUAGGUCGGGUGGAGUACUUCUUAAAAAAAAUGGAUGAAACAAUUGGGUUGAGUCUUCAGCAAUCUUUCAUUCUCGCACCAUGUUCAGUUGCCAACCGAAGGAGAAACAUCUCCUUGUAAGGAAACCCUAGGUUCCUCCACCGCAACCUCCGCUUUCGGGAUUCUCAUUGUCGCCGUUAGUUGCACGGGAGCUCCAACCACGUGCCUCCAUUGCGAGCGUCGUCACCGAAGUGGUGGAGUCUCGCGUUCUAUAACCCAUAAUCCUGUUCCGUCGCUCUUCUCCCGCUCUUCUCCCGCCCUCCCUCGUGGUCGCAUCAUUCAGGUUUGAGGAGAAUACUACACCGGAAAUGGAUCUUCUCAAUUUUUUUAACAAUUGAGAGAGUAAAGUGUAAUCUCUCACCAUUAAUUUUAUAAGUGGGAUCAAUAAUAAAUAUGAGAGAGAGAACAAUAAAGGGCUAGAGAUCACACUUUACACCUCAAUUUUUUUUAACAAUGGAGAGGAUCCAUUCCCAUACUACACCUCAUCGCAUACUAGUUCACAGUGACAAUUUAUUUUGUGAAAAAUUUAAAGUGAAACUCAUUUUACAGUGGCAUAAUUACGGUAUAAGGUAAAAAAUAGAUGUUAAUUAUUUUCACUUAAUACUCUAAUAGAACAUUGCCAUUCUUGCUUGUUUUGGUUCCUACUACAAUCUCAAUUAAGCCACUUCUUGUUCUUGUAAUUAGAACUAAAUAUUGUCGGUAAGACAUUGACAAUCUGCCAGUUCUGCCGACCUAUACCCUCGUAAGUAACCUUGAUCAUGUAAUUGGAGCUGGCGCUAAAGCUCCAGUAGGUCGGAAUGCGCCUUUUUCCUUCAAGUGUGAGACAGAAGGGGUGAUGACCUCGAAUCAGUCUCACCUUGAAGAAAGUUUUCUUGAUGACCUCGAGCCGGUACUAGGAGUUCGUAAUUCGCCUCCUCGGGACCACCUCCACACAAUGCUCCUGAGUCGCAGAGCUCUUGUAAGUCCUCCAUGAGUUCGUGGUUACCCUGGAGAACGUGCUCGUGAUGUCGGUACUGCACCACGUGUAAUGAUUUAUAGGUGAUUUGUAAAACCCGGUCAAACCGUAAUAAAUUAAAUAAUAAAUUAAAUAGGAGCGAAUAUUGUUAGAAAAUUUAGCAAUCGGAAUUUGAUAAUUUAAAAGUGAUAUUUGGAUUCAGUGAAUUUUUCAGAGUUGGAAAACAUAGUUUUCUGCGUAAAAACGCGCACUGAAAAUUUGACCGGAAGUACCGGCUAAGAUCUAUAUGCUACUGCAGCUGAGAAAAGUGAUUAUAAGUAAAUAAGGUUAAGAAAUUAGGAUUUAUAAUUAGGGAAGAUAGAAAUUUUUAAAAUGCGAUUUACAACGCUAAUCUUAAAGGUUUUGGCCCAAAGUUGGGCCAACGGACUAAAUCAAGUGAAUUGGGCCCAAGUGGAUCCAAGCCCAGCAUAUAUAAGCUUUAACUUAAAGCCAUUCAGCCACCACAACCCUCAUUUAGUGUGGUUGUUGCUGUAAUGAAAGGAGAGAGGUGAGAAGAGAGAAACUCUAACUCUCUUUGAUCUUCAAUUCAUCAUAACUUUCUCUACAGAACUCCGAUUGACGAGUCGUUUGCUGCCACGCGUCGCUCUUCUCUUCCUCUCCGAGUAUAUCUAAGUUUUGUGGUGAGUAUCUAAUUCUCCUCUGCCCAAUUUCGAUUUUUCUCUUAUAUUUCGAAUUUGGUUUGGGUUUUGAGGAAAUGUUGUGAUUUUGGUUGUUUAGGAGUGCUCUAGUAUGAGCCAUUGGUGAUAUUCAUCACAAAAUUUUGCGGGUUAAGGUAAGAAACCCUCAAACCCUUGUGAUUUAUCAUUUUCAUGAAACCUAGGUUGAUGUAUAUAUGUGAAAUUGGUUAUGUUAGUGUAUUUGGUGAUUUUGGUGCACAAUUAGGAGGUUGGUGUUGACUUACAAGAAGAAUCUCAAUUGUUUUGGCUACAAGAGGUACGGUUUAAGUUUCAUUUAAGUACCAUGUGGUGUGAUGAGAAUUCCUAGGCUAGAUGCUCCUAGGAUUAAGUUUGGAUUAUGUGAAUGGUUGGUAUUAAUAUGCAUAGUUGAUAUGUAAUGUAAAUUAAUGAUUGGGCUGAGAAUUGUGUGAAUUUUUAUGUAUAGUGUGUUGAGAAUUUGAUGAAUUGAAUGAUGAAUAUUGGUUUGUGGACUAUGUAUUUAAAAUUGUAAAUUUGGGCCGGAGGCCGUGAAUUUUGGGCCAGAGGCCGGAAAGAGGUAAGGAAGGUAAGUUGAUAUGUGUAUUAUGUGAUGAUAUAAGUGAUUGGAUGGAUUUAGAUAUUGAAUGUGUGAAUAAUUGGUUUGGUUAUUGAAUAAUAAGGUUUGAGGAAUUGAGGUGCGGAAUUUGAUAGUUUUUGGGUAAAAUUGUGUAGAGGAGGUAGGUUUGGUUUGGUUGAGUGUAAUUAUGUGAAUGUAGUUGGGUUGUGGUCAUUUGGAUGAGUGGAAAUGAAUUUGCCUUGUGAACAUUAGAAAAAUUGGUGAUUUCUAUUCUUGGAUAAAAACUAAUUUUUGACCAAAUUUAGCAGCCCGUAACUCGGACCACAAAGUUUGGAAUUCUUCAAAAUUGGAUUUUUAUGAAAGUUUAUUCAACGAUCUUUCCAACGGUUCAGAAAUGGUUGAAAAAGGAGUUUUGUAGAAGAAGUUAUGUGUGUUGAAAGUUUGGGGUUUGAAAAUGUAAUUCUACAGCUUUUUAACUUAGUAAAAAUUUUGGAAAAUUGUGCCUCCACACGCACGCAUGGCUGACAUGCACGCGUCAGUCUCGAUUCUUAAUCACCCACACGUGCGCCUGGCCGACGCGUACGCGUCGAUGCACGGAUGCGAAUGCUUCGUAGAAAAUCCAGAGAGUUGUGCGGGUACUGUGCUGGUUUUGUGCGAGACGCGUCAUUCUGCUUUUCUGACUCCCACACGUGCGUAUGGGCGACGCUCACGCGUCACUCUGCUUUUCAACCUUCCAUGCGUGCGCAUGGGCGACACGCAUGCGUGACCCUUUUUUCAGCAAAAGUUGAUUUUUGAGUCUUUAAAGCCAAAUUUUAGACUUCUAAGCCUCCAUUCUCAUCCUCUAAGUCUUAAAUCUUUAUAGUAUGCCUAGUAAUGAAAAGAAGUUAGGAUAUGUGAUAACUUAUGGACGAAGUAAAGUGAGAAUCAAUGAUGAAUGAUGAGUAUUGAUGAUUGUAUGAGCUACUGAGGGUGAUGAUGGAAGUGCGGUGUAUGCCGUGAGCCGAAGGGCUGUAUUUAAUAAUGAUUAUUGGCUGGUUAUGGGUUAUGUUGUGAGCCAGAUGGCUAUGAUGAAUAUUGAUUUAUGGCUGAAAAUGAAAAUAUAGUUUUGAAUGAUUGUUUUAUCUUGAGUUCCAUUUCUCGAAAGUGCGACCCUAGGGAAAUGAAGGAAGGUGAGGAUUCCCUUCCUUGUUCUUCCUGGUAUUGUAAAAUUGCCCCCAGCGAGAUGGUGGGAGGUUAGGAUCCCCUCCUUGAUUCCUCCUGGAAAUAUGAGAACGUACCUCCUAGGUAGAUGCAAGGGUUGUGGUUGCGUCCCACUUGCUCUAGGUUGGUUAGUAUAGAGGCUCCCCAGGUAGAUGCAAGGGUUAUGGUUCGUCCCACUUGCUCCAGGUCAGAGAUUGUGAUGCUUGGGUAGUAGCGAUAGUAAUGGUUACUCCACUCGCUCCAGGUUGAGCUUUUAAACACCUGCCUGGGUAGAUGCAGUGGCUUUGGUCCACUUGCUCCAGGAUGUGGUGAGAUAUACCUGCCCGGAUAGAUGCAGUGGCAUUGAUCCACUUGCUCCGGGUUUGGUUUGCAACUCCUUGGGUAGAUGUAGUGGUUAUCCUUCACUUGUUCCCAGUCGAGUAUGAUUUGAGAUUGAAACUAUCUGAGUCUCGGAUUUCCUUGGGUAGAUGCAGUGGGUCGACUCUACUUGCUCCAGGUUGAGAUCUAAGAUUCUGUUGACCUAUGUCGUAAGUGUGGCCGGACACUGUGAAAGUUCCAGAUGAGCUCGCCCCCGUGAAUAAACACCAGUGUGAGUAUUGUGUGACUAUGAUUAUGAUUGUGAAUAACUCGAGUUGGGGAUGCACGACAGAGGGACAGUCUAAUGGUUAGCUACCAAGACUUAUCGGGUUGGCUUUAUAACCGACAGAUGAGACUCAUCAGCCAUAGGGCAGGCAUACAUCAUUUGCAUAUGUUUGAAUUAUUUGGGUUUGCCUAUUUGUUUUGGAUUGCUAUAUCAUAUAUGCUAUGUUACCUGACUAUAUGCUACCUGUUCUUCUUGUACCUUAAUUGUGUAUUACUUGUCUGUAUUGUUUGUGUUUGUACAACUGAGAGGUCCCUCAUGCUGGUGUCGGUUGACGCUGAGGGCUGUUCUUAUUGAAAUGGAAUAAUGAUCUGAUCUAUUUAAAAUGACGAUUAUUGAAUGAGAUAAUUUGAGCUCCCUGGGUAGACGCAGUGAAGUGAUUUCACUUGCUCCAGGUGAGGAUAUGAAGUAUUGAUAUAGAAUUGUUGAGAUAAAAUAACUGGUGAUGGUUUGUCUUAUGAUCUUGAUUCUGAUUUGUUGGAGAGUUAGAAAGUUAGGAAACAUGAGAAAGAUGAAUCAGAUUUAGCAUUCCCUUAUAACAGUUGCCUAUUUAUGGAUUAGCGAGAAUAUAGGAUGAAUAUUUUGUGAAAGGAAGUCUAGGAUGCUUAGUGAGUUUUUAUUACAAUGCAUUGUAUCUAUUUGGCACUUUUACCGUACUGGGAACCCAUGGGUCAGGGGUUCUCAUUCUGUAUAUAUCUCUUGUUUUUCAGAUACAGGUCCAAGUGCUCAGAAGUGAGCGGUGGUUCAUCUGAGAGAUGGUGAAGAUCCUUAUUUUCUCUACUUUAUAUUUUGCUUAGAAUCUCUCCACCUUUAUUUUGAAAAGCUUAUAAUAUGUAUUGAACUCUUUUGAACUUGCCUAUAGAGGAUCUUAUGUUUCUUUGGGAGAGAUUAGGAGAUACUGUUGUCAACUACUGUUAUACUGUACCCUAGCCAGCCUAAACUUCGCGGGACGCGACUAGUGGC
Molecule: long non-coding RNA, 5212 nt
Filed under: Arachis ipaensis
Lineage: Eukaryota; Viridiplantae; Streptophyta; Magnoliopsida; Fabales; Fabaceae
Description: long non-coding RNA (AIPA_LNC001714)
Source: RNAcentral